GAUGAACGCUGGCGGCGUGCUUAAUACAUGCAAGUCGAGCGAACAGACGAGGAGCUUGCUCCUCGGACGAUAGCGGCGCACGGGUGAGUAACACGUGUAUAACCUACCUGUAAGACGGAUAUAACUACGGGAAAGCGGCGCAAAUACCGUAGAAUAUAUUGAUGCGCAUGGUUCAUUAGUGAAAGACGGCUUUGCUGUCACUUAUAGAUGGAUCUGCGCCGCAUUAGCUAGUUGGUAGGGUAACGGCUUAUCAAGGCUACGAUGCGUAGCCGACCUGAGAGGGUGAUAGGCCGCACUGGAACUGAGCCGCGGUCCAGACUCCUACGGGACGGAGCAGUCUGGAAUGUUCCGCAAUAGGCGAGAGCAUGACGGAGCAGCGCCGAGUGUGUGAUGACGGUCUUCGGAUCGUAAUACUCUGUUAUUAGGGAAGAACCACUUUGUAAGGAAAUAUGCACGUCUUGACGGUACCUGAUAAGAAAGCAACGGCUAACUACGUG
Molecule: ribosomal RNA, 497 nt
Filed under: uncultured bacterium
Lineage: Bacteria
Description: partial 16S ribosomal RNA
Rfam family: Bacterial small subunit ribosomal RNA
Source: RNAcentral